CAGUAGUCAUACGCUCGUCUCAAAGAUUAAGUCAUACAAGAGUAACUCUAAAUAGAGUUAGCGUGGGAAUGCGACUGGAUCACUUAAUCAGUCAUAGUGUAUUUGCAAUUGUUACUAUAUGGAUAACUGUAGUAAUUCUAGGCAGGGGGACAGGUGCCUUCUUAACUGGGUCACCAGUAAGGAAGUAUUUAAUAGACAUGCCUCCUUUUUGCUAAUGGUGAGUAAUCAUAAUCCUUUGUCUUUCCCGCAUUCUUUGGUAGUAGUAAUGAUCUUCCUUUCAAGAGUUGAUCCUAUCAGCUUCAGAUGGUAGUGUAAGCGCAUCCCAUCACAGUACCAGGUAACGAAGAAGCUCCCAAUAAUCUAGGAGCCUGUUCCUGAGAGAUGGCUGAUUCAUUCAAGCAAGGCACCAGGCAGGUUUCCUCCCCAGUAACCGCGCAGGGAGGUAACGACAAUUAAUGUCAGUUAGCACCCUCAGGUUUCGUAACAGAAUUGAGAACAAAGUACAUCCGUUAUCGAUAAACAAUUGGAGGGCAAGUGUGGUCCCAGCAGCCGCGGUAACUCCAACUCCCAUAGCGUAUACAAACGUUGUUGCAGUUAAAAA
Molecule: ribosomal RNA, 601 nt
Filed under: Blastocystis sp.
Lineage: Eukaryota; Bigyra; Opalinata; Blastocystidae
Description: SSU rRNA
Rfam family: Eukaryotic small subunit ribosomal RNA
Source: RNAcentral